This 440-nucleotide ribosomal RNA is filed under the name uncultured bacterium. Its description in RNAcentral is "partial 16S ribosomal RNA". It matches the Rfam family "Bacterial small subunit ribosomal RNA", at positions 338 to 795 of the family's 1533-position model. The record is from RNAcentral.
CCUACGGGUGGCAGCAGUGGGGAAUAUUGUACAAUGGGGGAAACCCUGAUGCAGCGACGCCGCGUGAGUGAAGAAGUAUCUCGGUACGUAAAGCACUAUCAGCAGGGAAGAAAAUGACGGUACCUGACUAAGAAGCCACGGCUAACUACGUGCCAGCAGCCGCGGUAAUACGUAGGGGGCAAGCGUUAGCCGGAUUUACUGGGUGUACAGGGAGCGUAGACGGCAGCACAAGUCUGGAGUGAAAUCCCGGGGCUUAACCCCGGAACUGCUUUGGAAACUGUGCGGCUGGAGUGCAGGAGGGGUAGGCGGAAGUCCUGGUGUAGCGGUGAAAUGCGUAGAUAUUAGGAGGAACACCGGUGGCGAAGGCGGCUUACUGGACUGUAACUGACGUUGAGGCUCGAAAGCGUGGGGAGCAAACAGGAUUAGAUACCCUUGUAGUC